Molecule: ribosomal RNA, 255 nt
Filed under: uncultured bacterium
Lineage: Bacteria
Description: partial 16S ribosomal RNA
Rfam family: Bacterial small subunit ribosomal RNA
Source: RNAcentral
UACGUAGGGGGCAAGCGUUUGUCCGGAUUUAUUGGGCGUAAAGAGCGUGUAGGCGGCUUUACAGGUCCGUUGUGAAAACUCGAGGCUCAACCUCGAGACGCCGGGUGGAAACCGUAAAGCUAGAGUCCGGAAGAGGAGAGUGGAAUUCCUGGUGUAGCGGUGAAAUGCGCAGAUAUCAGGAGGAACACCCGUGGCGAAAGCGGCUCUCUGGGACGGUACUGACGCUGAGACGCGAAAGCGUGGGGAGCAAACAGG